This 98-nucleotide microRNA precursor is filed under the name Triticum aestivum (bread wheat). RNAcentral describes it as "MIR2275 microRNA precursor family". It matches the Rfam family "MIR2275 microRNA precursor family". The record is from Rfam by way of RNAcentral. RNAcentral also lists the same sequence under 1 other name. Lineage: Eukaryota; Viridiplantae; Streptophyta; Magnoliopsida; Poales; Poaceae.
GCACUGAAAGUGAGAGUUGGAGGAAAACAAACAGAUCCUGGCUAGCUAAUCGCGGUCGCCGAUCAGCUUGUUUUCCUCCAAUAUCUCACCUUCAGUUG